RNAcentral lists this ribosomal RNA (775 nucleotides) under Streptomyces sp. Pe4s7. Its description in RNAcentral is "bacterial SSU rRNA". It matches the Rfam family "Bacterial small subunit ribosomal RNA", at positions 61 to 853 of the family's 1533-position model. The record is from RNAcentral. Lineage: Bacteria; Bacillati; Actinomycetota; Actinomycetes; Kitasatosporales; Streptomycetaceae.
GUCGACGAUGAAGCCUUUCGGGGUGGAUUAGUGGCGAACGGGUGAGUAACACGUGGGCAAUCUGCCCUUCACUCUGGGACAAGCCCUGGAAACGGGGUCUAAUACCGGAUAACACUCUGUCCCGCAUGGGACGGGGUUAAAAGCUCCGGCGGUGAAGGAUGAGCCCGCGGCCUAUCAGCUUGUUGGUGGGGUAAUGGCCUACCAAGGCGACGACGGGUAGCCGGCCUGAGAGGGCGACCGGCCACACUGGGACUGAGACACGGCCCAGACUCCUACGGGAGGCAGCAGUGGGGAAUAUUGCACAAUGGGCGAAAGCCUGAUGCAGCGACGCCGCGUGAGGGAUGACGGCCUUCGGGUUGUAAACCUCUUUCAGCAGGGAAGAAGCGAAAGUGACGGUACCUGCAGAAGAAGCGCCGGCUAACUACGUGCCAGCAGCCGCGGUAAUACGUAGGGCGCAAGCGUUGUCCGGAAUUAUUGGGCGUAAAGAGCUCGUAGGCGGCUUGUCACGUCGGAUGUGAAAGCCCGGGGCUUAACCCCGGGUCUGCAUUCGAUACGGGCUAGCUAGAGUGUGGUAGGGGAGAUCGGAAUUCCUGGUGUAGCGGUGAAAUGCGCAGAUAUCAGGAGGAACACCGGUGGCGAAGGCGGAUCUCUGGGCCAUUACUGACGCUGAGGAGCGAAAGCGUGGGGAGCGAACAGGAUUAGAUACCCUGGUAGUCCACGCCGUAAACGUUGGGAACUAGGUGUUGGCGACAUUCCACGUCGUCGUGCCGCAGCU